GGUUCAGGAUGAACGCUGCGGCGUGCCUAACACAUGCAAGUCGAACGAAGCAUACGGACUGGAGAUUCGUCGAAGGACUGUAUGACUUAGUGGCGGACGGGUGAGUAAUGUAUGAGCAACCUGCCUUUCAGAGGGGGACGAACAGUUGGAAACGACUGCUAAUACCGCGUAACGUAUCGUGGGGGCAUCCUCGUGAUACCAAAGGAGCAAUCCGCUGAAAGAUGGGCUCAUAUCUGAUUAGCUUGUUGGCGGGGUAACGGCCCACCAAGGCGACGAUCAGUAGCCGGACUGAGAGGUUGAACGGCCACAUUGGGACUGAGAUACGGCCCAGACUCCUACGGGAGGCAGCAGUGGGGAAUAUUGGGCAAUGGGCGAAAGCCUCGACCCAGCAACGCCGCGUGAAGGAAGAAGGUCUUCGGAUUGUAAACUUCUUUUAUGAGGGACGAAGGACGUGACGGUACCUCAUGAAUAAGCCACGGCUAACUACGUGCCAGCAGCCGC
Molecule: ribosomal RNA, 501 nt
Filed under: uncultured bacterium
Lineage: Bacteria
Description: bacterial SSU rRNA
Rfam family: Bacterial small subunit ribosomal RNA
Source: RNAcentral